This 1695-nucleotide ribosomal RNA is filed under the name Triticum aestivum (bread wheat). Its description in RNAcentral is "partial small subunit ribosomal RNA". Lineage: Eukaryota; Viridiplantae; Streptophyta; Magnoliopsida; Poales; Poaceae. The record is from RNAcentral.
AUGGACGAACAAGGCCCCGCAGCAAAGCCCAUGGGCAUGGCCAUCAAGUUCUCUAGCUGCCGUGGCGUCGCCUUCGAGAUCAAGCCCUCGCCGGCAAGCCCCUUUGCUCUAGACACUGCCGCUAGUCCUUCCGACUCGCCGCCCGCCGAAUCCGGCGGCGGCCGAUGGGUGUGGUUCCCUCAGCCUUUCAACCGUAAUUACUCCACCACGAGCUUUCUCACGGCGCGCAGCCGUGCGAGCACCCACUUCUGCGACCUCGACGACAUCAGCGAUGGCGACACGGACGAUGAGUCUGUCGCUACGGACGAGGAGAUGUCCCUCACCGCCGCUGACGUUUCUCGCGUGCAGAGCAGGAGAUCCAACGCGCCGGCUAAGCCUGUGAGGGCGGCGGCUGGGCACUCCAGGCUCGGCGUCAUACUGCUCGACCAAGGCUUGUUCACCGUUUACAAGCGACUCUUCAUGCUCUGCAUCGCGCUGAAUGCGGCGGGGCUCGCUGCCGCGGCAACCGGCCGCUUCCCUUACGCCAAGCGCCACGCCGCCGUCUUCGCCAUCGGGAAUAUACUGGCGCUCACGCUGUGCCGCUCCGAGGCGGUGCUCCGGGGAGUCUUCUGGCUCACCGUCGCGCUCCUCGGCCGGCCAUGGGUGCCGGUCGCCGUAAAGACCGGCGUUACGGCUAUCCUCCAGUCCCUCGGCGGUGUCCACAGCGGCUGCGGCAUGUCCUCGCUGGCGUGGCUGGUAUACGCGCUCGUGCAGGCGCUCGAGCUCCGCGGCGUGACGCCACCCGAGAUCGUGAGCGUCGCGUCCGCAAUACUCGGCCUGGUUGCACUCUCGUGCCUCGCGGCAUUUCCGCUCGUGCGCCACCUCCAUCACAACGUGUUCGAGCGUACGCACCGAUUCGCUGGCUGGAGCGCGCUCGCACUGCUCUGGGCUUUCGUCAUGCUCACUGCUGGCUACAACCCGGCAAUCAGAUCUUACCACAGGCUGACCGUCGCCUCCCUGGCUAAGCGCCAAGAGCUAUGGCUGACGGCCGCCAUCACCUUCUUCACCUUCCUCCCGUGGCUCACCGUGCGCCGCGUGCCGGUCACGGUCACCGCGCCGUCUACCCGCGCGUCCAUCAUAACCUUCCAAGGCGGCGUCAAGGCCGGCCUGCUCGGUCGCAUCAGCCGCUCGCCGCUCUCCGAGUGGCACGCCUUCGGCAUCAUCUCCGACGACAGGGACACUCACGCCAUGCUCGCUGGCGCAGUGGGAGACUUCACCCGGGGCCUCGUCUCCGACCCGCCCAGCCACCUUUGGGUACGUACAGUCCACUUCGCCGGGCUGCCCUACCUCAUCAGCAUGUACCAGAGAGUCACCAUGGUCGCGACCGGCUCCGGCAUAUGCGUGUUCCUGUCGUUCCUUAUGCAACCAAGUUGGGCGGAGGUAUCUCUGGUCUGGGUGGCCAAGGACAUCGACGCCAACUACGGCGACGGGAUAAGAGCCAUGGUGACGAGCAACGAGAACCUUGGAGAGCGUGUGAUCGUGCACGACACGAUGACCAUGGGGCGUCCGGAUGUCUCGGAGCUGGCCGUUGGCGCGGCACGACAGUGGAACGCGGAGGCGGUGGUGGUGACGAGCAACCCGGAGGGGAGCAGGGACGUCGUGAGGAGAUGCAAGAAGGCCGGCAUCCCGGCGUUUGGUCCUAUCUGGGACUCUUGA